AUCAGGCCCAAUUUCCCUCUGACCCAACCCAAUCCCUCUAUUCCUCACCUCACGGGCUCUUUCUUUUCUUUCCCGUCCCUACCACGCGUCCCUAAUUCUCCAAGAACAAAGACCAUGUGCGUCUCUUCUUCUCCAUAUCAGAACGCAACAACAACAACCACCAAAUGACCUCCCAGAACUCCAAUCCCUUCAUCAAAUGACACCACAUCUCACCAUACUCUUCCAAUCCCGUACUACAUUGCAUGCCAAGCACGAGGAGAAGUACAAGAAUCUUUGUGAAGAACCACGUGCCUUCGUCUCCUCAAUUCCCCAAUUUGUAUCUUCAAAAUCCUUUCGAAAAUCUGUUACAAAUCUCUAGUUGGAGCCUUAUCUCCAAGAAUUUCUAAAGAAAUUUAUUUCUUCCACAUCGUUUUGGGAAUCAAUUUUCAAGGGUUUUGAAUCCCUAUAUAUAUAUAUACUCUCAUUCACUGUUGAGGGGCGCGGAUUGAAGUUGAGGAUUUUGGGAAGAGAACAAUAUUUCUGGCAAAUUAAAUCCAUGAAGGUUUAGGCCCAAAAAUCUCACUCUUUUUGUUCAUAAGAACUUCAUCAAAGUUUCGUCGGAGUCCAUUUUUGGUGGUGGAAUCGUCUCCAGCCAACUCGAUUUCUCAAUCCGCUGCUCCGGGAAAGGUAAACGUCUUUCUAUUCUUGAUUUGUUCUAGUUAUAUCUAUUCUUGUUUUGCCUAUAAAUACGUUAUGUGCUAAAGAUUGAAUUCAAUUUUAGUUCUUUUCCUUAGUGAUUUUUAUUCCAGUAGUUUAUCAAUUUUUUAAGUCAAAAAUGAGUUCUUUAUGUCGUUCCUGUUGCUAUCAUGUUUAAGUUUCUUGAUUCGUAUUUAAGCCUCUACUCUCUUUUGUUGUUAUUUCGAGUUUAGCUUAGUUUCUGCUUUAUUCAAUAUAGUUGUUCUUGCUUAAGUUUAAAUCAUAGAUUACGAUAUGGUUUAAGUUUAUGGGUCGCUUGAUUUUAUUUUUUAUACUCAUUUAAAUGUGGUGCAUCUCUAGUUGUUCUCCCUCUUCUGCAUAUAUUUUCUUACAAAUAAAGUUGUGUCUUUGUGUGAUUAUGUUGCUCCUUUCUCAUUUCGCUGAAAUUAUUGAAGUUUGAGGUACCGCUACUUCUUUAAUGUUUUAUCUGUUUUAUCCUGGGAGGAAAUAAUCCAUAACCUCGGGUAGAUGCACAGUGAAUUCUAUAGACUCGGAUAUUGUUUUACUUUUCAUUUUUAUUGUUUCUGGUUUGAACCCAUAUUACAAACAAGCUUAAGGAAUUUACAAUUUUUUCUGUAUUUGAGGGUUCUGGAGAUUAAAACCUUUUGGAUUUUCUGUUCUGUCUGAAUCUAAUACUGAUUUGAAGAAUAUAAAACCUUCAUCAGUGUUCAAGGUUCAUUCGGUUAACGAUUGAAAGAAUAUAAAAACUUCAUCGUUAAACUAGAAAUAAUUUGUAUAUUUCUGUUUCAUCUUAUAUUCUGUUUAAGGGCUGAAGACUAUAAUUGAAAGACUUUCUACUGCAGUGAUUAACUUGGUUCGAACAAAAUAAAAUAUUCAUCAAGUUAAUUAAGUUUUUGUUUUUCUCUGUUCGAAAAAUAUAAAAACUUCAUCGAGUUGAACAAAAAAUCUUAUUUGGUCAUUCUGUUAUUUAAUAUUACUUUUAUUUUUUCAAACAAAAUGGGAGAUACAAACGUGUCCAGGUUUGAAGCAAACACAAUGCUUUCAAUUAGUCGAACACCAGUUUCUACAGCAAUGAUUACUGCAGAAAAACCUGAAAAGUUCAUCAGUAUUGACUUCAAACGGUGGCAGCAAAAGAUGUUCAUUUAUCUAACUACCCUUAGUCUACAAUGUUUUAUCAAUGAAGAUGUUCUUUUGUUAGAGGAAGGAACUUCUAAAAAUGAAAAGUUUAAUGUGACUGAGGCAUGGAAACAUUCUGAUUUCCUUUGCAAGAACUACAUACUCAAUGGAUUGGAAGAUGACUUAUAUAACGUCUUCAAUGUUUGUAUGCUCUUGAGAAGAAAUACAAAACUGAAGAUGCAGGCUUGAAGAAGUUUAUGACUGUAAAAUUUUUGGAUGAUAAGAUGGUUGAUAUUAAGACUGUCAUUUCUCAAGUCCAAGAACUACAAGUCAUUAUUCAUGAUCUCCUAGUAGAAGAUAUGAUUAUAAACGAGACAUUUCAAGUAGCAGCAUUGAUUGAGAAACUGUCUCCUUUAUGGAAAGACUUCAAAAAUUAUUUGAAGCACAAGUGAAAGGAGAUGACUCUUAAAGACUUUAUUGUUCGCCUAAGGAUCGAGGAAGACAACAAGGCUGUUGAGAAGAAGGCUAAAGAAAACUCAACAAUUAUGGGAGCAAAUAUAGUUGAGGAUGGUCCAACUAAAUCAAAAAAAAAGGAAGAAACCUUCUGGAUCGAAGAACUAUCCUAGUAAAAAGAAGUUCAAAGAAGACUGCCACAAUUGUGAAAAAUUGGACAUAAAGAUGUGGAAUGUCGUGCUCCCAAGAAGGAAAAGAAAAGAGGUCAAUCUAACAUGGUUAAUACAAAUGGGGAUGUUGAAGACUUAUAUGCAAUGCUGACUGAAUGUAACCUAGUAGGAAAUCCUAAAGAAUGGUGGCUUGAUUCUGGAGCCACGUCAUAUGUUUGCGCUGUCCAAGAAGCCUUCGCUACUUAUUCCUCUGCUGCACCUGAUGAGACUAUCUAUAUGGAAAAUUUUGCAACAACAAAGGUGGAAGGAUAUGGUAGACUAUUCCUGAAAAUGACCUCUGGCAAGGUGGUGACUCUGAACAAAGUUUUUCAUGUUCCAGAAAUAAGAAAGAAAUUGGUUUCUUCUGA
This is a long non-coding RNA of Solanum dulcamara, 2842 nucleotides long. RefSeq lists it as uncharacterized. The record is from RefSeq and is a predicted model, not a curated record. NCBI's taxonomy places the organism in Eukaryota, Viridiplantae, Streptophyta, Magnoliopsida, Solanales, Solanaceae. The transcript has 2 exons.